UAUGGCAUAAGUACAACUGCAAUUGCAAUAAAUAAAAAAGUUUCGUGGAAAAAUCGUUAUGUACUUGGAUAGAUUGUGGCUAUAUCUGCUUGGACCAUAAUUUGUUUUGACAGUUUCUGUGUGUUAUUUGCUUGAUUAUCCAGUAGUACUAUAUAUAAUCUACAUCUCAUGUUCUACCUGUUUGGGUGAUAAGCAAUGAACAUGUAACUUUUCAUAUAUUUGAGCAUGCUGAACUUUUCAUUGCUUGGCUGCAGGUUGAUAAUGCAACCGGACAUUCAGUUGCUCAAGAGUUAAAUAUAUCAGGCUGGACCGAAGAGUUCUUUGGUUCUCUUUUACAUGAUAGAUGUCAAAGACGCAGAAGAACAAAUCCACUAAACACCAUCUUGGUGGUCUGAAGUGACACAUGAGGAAAGGCACUGGAGCUGUACGAGAACAUGCAUAUCAAGGCGGUGGUGGGUGCAAGAA
Long non-coding RNA from Lolium rigidum, 465 nucleotides. RefSeq lists it as uncharacterized. The record is from RefSeq and is a predicted model, not a curated record. The transcript has 3 exons. NCBI's taxonomy places the organism in Eukaryota, Viridiplantae, Streptophyta, Magnoliopsida, Poales, Poaceae.